UAUGUGUGUGUCACGUGCACCGUCGUUCACAGCUGGUUCUUCCACCAUGGGUGUCCUGAAGUGGAACUCAGGUUGCAGCAAGCACCUUUACCAAUUGAACCACCUUGCUGGCCUAAGAUAAGAGUACUUUACUUAAUAAUGUGCCAGAGAUAACUGAAAGGUGUUAAGCUUGCUAUUGUGAAACAGUAAUGGCUUCAUACUGAGUAUUUAAGACUGACAGCAGUGAAGGAACUUUUCCUCUGCUUUCUCCUCCUCUUAGCAACUGAAAAUCUCUGGAGCAGCAUGGCAGUGAAGUGUGGUGACCUAGAGAGGACAGCACAGACGGUGUGGAGUGGUGACGAGAAUAGUGAUCGUGAAAGUUAAUAUUAUAUCUCAACAACUUGAUUGGACUGAGAAAGGCAGGGACUUGCCAAGUUCUCCUGGGUGUGUCUGUCAAGGCAUGUGGGUAGAGAAUAAAAUCACCGGAGCGAAUAGGGAGGUAGCAAAAGGAAGAUUGGCCCUAUGGAAAGGCUAUAACAUUGGAGGAGUUUGAUGUGGGACCCUGAGUGGUUCUAACUACCCAACAUUGAUGUGUCUUACGUCGUCUCCAACAGUAAAAGUGGAUAUGAGUUAUUAUAGUACAUAAACUUCUCCGUUGGCUCCAUUGGACCUUCAUGCCUAGCCUGUUGCUAUGGUGUGGGGGUGUUCAAGCUACCCUAUAAGCCGACAAGCAAGAAGCUGAGACCUCCUUCCAACACCCAUGUGCAAAAACAGCUUUAGAACUGUGAUUCCCAUCUGUGACCUCAGAAAAUGAUUAUCCCACCACUUCUAUGUGCUCCAGGGAAUGGGGGAAAUGGCAGAGCCCAUGGGAUUCCACUUUCUGCUGCCCAUACACUCACUGGUGGGGGGCCAUCCACUGGACUAUGGUUGACCUGAUUGUCUUUCCCCUGGAAACCACCAGCUAUCAAGAGCUCCUCAACUGCAUGCACCAGGCUUAUUGCUUCUUUUGCGGGUAUUAUAAAUGAGAUUUUUUUUUAUUGUUGUUUUGAGACGGAACCUUGCUAUGAUCCCAAGUGCUGGGAUCAUAGGUGUACAUCACCAUAGGUGGUAAAGACACAAUUUUGUUUUGUUUUUGAUACAGACUCUAGGUAUGUACACAGUGUAAGCUGACCUCAAAUUCUUGGUGAUCCUCCUGCCUCAGCCCCUCAAGUGCUGAAAAUACUACCACACCUGACUCAAAGAUCCAUUUCUGAAAGCCUUUCUUAUACUGGGAUGAUUGGUAAUAACCUCAAUAUAUUGAGGUAGCUGUAAUUUAUAUAAACACACACCAUAAAGCUCAAAAUGAAUGUGUCCUUGAGUUAACUCUUUCUUACCAGGUUCUGAAAACGCCACAGCUUCCCACAUUGUCACUCUUCUGGAAGAGAUAUGCAAUAGAGGAAAAUUCAGAAUGGAACGAGAUCUUAAAAUAAAAUAUAUUAUUUUUUACAUUACCCAAAACUGCUUUGUCAUAUGAAUAUAGCCUUGGAAAGACCUCAGACAAAUACAAAGCCCCCAAAUAAACA
This is a long non-coding RNA of Myodes glareolus (Bank vole), 1541 nucleotides long. RefSeq lists it as uncharacterized. Lineage: Eukaryota; Metazoa; Chordata; Mammalia; Rodentia; Cricetidae. The record is from RefSeq and is a predicted model, not a curated record.